GAACCAUUUACCCUUCAUGUGCCUCUUUUUCCGUGUAUGUGCCUCUUUUUCCUUCUAUGUAAAAUAAGUGAAAGAAAGAGGAGAGCUAGAUGAUACCACUGUAACUCUUGUAUUUCAAGACACUCAUUUCUGCCUUGUCGCAGAUUACAGUCAUUUAGAGAUACAGAAAUAGGUAUUACAGUCAGAAUCCACAUUUUAGAGUAUAUCUGCUGACCCCAUGUCUGUGGAAGAUACUGAGAUGCAGAUACUGAGAAUGGGCCUCAAAAUUUUUCUCAAGACUGUACUCCAGGAAGCUAUGCUGAACCAAAUGAAAUUGGCCCUACUUGUCAUCCUAGCAUAGCAGGUUUCGGUUUAUGAAAGACAGAGAAUAUGCAACUCUCUCAGCCACCUAAAUAUGAAGUGGCUUUCCACAGAUCUCUUUUCGAAGGUCACAAUGAUUUGUAUGACAGAUGCUAGCCCAAGAGAGAGUUCCAGAAGAGGGCUACCUAACAGGUGCUGUGGCAUUUAGA
Molecule: non-coding RNA, 509 nt
Filed under: Pongo abelii (Sumatran orangutan)
Lineage: Eukaryota; Metazoa; Chordata; Mammalia; Primates; Hominidae
Source: RNAcentral